GGAGUUUUGCAAACUCUGGGAACCUCCAGCAAAUAUCGUGCUGCCUUCGCAUGGCAGAGGUCACGAGUUCGAGUCUCGUCGGGUUCA
This 87-nucleotide transfer RNA is filed under the name Actinomycetota bacterium. Its description in RNAcentral is "tRNA-Ser". The stretch from base 20 to 87 matches the Rfam family "tRNA". From Rfam's summary of the family: Transfer RNA (tRNA) molecules are approximately 80 nucleotides in length. Their secondary structure includes four short double-helical elements and three loops (D, anti-codon, and T loops). The record is from RNAcentral. Lineage: Bacteria; Bacillati; Actinomycetota.